Mercenaria mercenaria is the source of this 3896-nucleotide long non-coding RNA. RefSeq lists it as uncharacterized. Lineage: Eukaryota; Metazoa; Mollusca; Bivalvia; Venerida; Veneridae. The record is from RefSeq and is a predicted model, not a curated record. The transcript has 2 exons.
GCAAAAGGACUGGAUAAGGUGUUGGCCUUUAGCUGUUAAACAUCAUUAGAUUGACUAUGGAAAGAAGAUGCCCCUUCUGUUUUUGGGGUCUGUAGGUCAAAGUAACUUCAUGACAUAAAAUAAGUAGAAAUUCUUUAACAUACAAGUCUCAAACUUCACCAGAUGGCUGUGGUCAUUAGAUGACACGGGUCAAGUUCAAAGUGGUCUUGCUGCAUGCAAACGGUUUCCGAUCGCUUGUGUUUAUGGCUAUAUAAAAUUCAAAGAAUGAUUUUCAUGUAAUCAGUAGGUGACCUCUGUUGUUUUGGAGUCCAUAACUUAAAGGUCAUUACCAAGAUAACUUUUAGACAGAAAACGUGUUUCUGGUCAGUAAAUGGAGAAAGAUGAGUACUGAUUUUCUGUUGAUGACUUCUACUUUUUACGAGACCAUUACGUCAGAUGUCAAGGCCAUAGCAUACUUGAUACCGAAAGUUACAUAUACAUACUUAUACCCAUACAGUUACCCUAGACAUGCCAUCACCGAGGCAUAUGAUUAUUUGUUUUAUACACAGCUCUUAUUUAUUUACAGUUGCACCUUUUUUCAAGCAACUUAUUUCAAGUAUUUAUCACCAUAAAAAACAACAACAAAAAAAAACACGCAAAAAUGUUCUCUUGUACACUUCCCGUGAGGGUAUGAAACAACUUUACCGAAACCUUUAAUUUGUUGUAAAUUAUUGUAAACUGUUAAUCAUUAUCAUUAUUUAACAGAACCUCAUUUUCAUACACCGAAACAAUACCAAGAGGUUGAUCCUCUACACAAUAAUCUCACGUGGCACAGCCUGAGUGAUUUAUACACGCGGCAUAUAACCGAUUCGUAAUGUUUCGAUAUAUGGAAAUAUGGUUUUAAAUAUUAUUUCGAUUUCAAUAUGUCUUUCGUGUAAACAAGUAGAUGAAAUAGAGAAGAACUAUUUCAUGGCGAGUGCAUGGCGCCAAAUAUAAUAGGUCGGUGUGACGUUAACGUGUUUUAUCAGCAUUAAAUUACGGGGCGAACUAACGUCCUGCGGAAUAACUUAAGUGCGUAGGCAUCUAAUGACUUAUUGUUUGCACUUAAUAUAGUGUGUGUGAAUUACGUCUAACACUGUUCUGAAGUGUAUUUUAUAUAAAUAGAUCAAAUGUGAUAGUACCCUUUCUCGGCGCCUGUAUGGCGCCAAAUAAUAUGCUGACGUGACGUCAAAUUUUCAUGUUUUAACGGAAAUGUGCAUCGGUUUUCCAUUUCAGAAUCUAAUUAAGAAAUAAUUUGUAGCAAAAUAGUGCUUUAACACUAUUUAUGCACGAUGGGUGGUUAUACGUCGGGCGUAAUAAUUUCACGAGGGCGCAGCCCGAGUGAAAUUUGUACGACGUAUAACCACCCGAGUGUAUAAAUAGUGUUAAAACACGGUUGUGCUAUAAAUUAUUUCGAUUCUAAUAUGCCCUUAAUCUAAAACAGUAGAUAAAAUAUAGAAGCGCUCUUCCUUGGUCGCAACAAAAACUUUGACGUCAACGCACGUUAACGUGACGUCAUUCUAGCGUAAGUGUUUAGACGUCACUUAGACAUUAUUUGGCACCACAUAUGCGCUGAGAGAGAGAGAGUGGUGUCGCAUUUAAUAUACUAUCGAUUAUUAAGCGGGUAGAAUAACUCACUAGACUUCUAGGCACUCCUAAGUUAUUCCGCGGGACGUGUUACUUCUUAUUUGGUUACGCGUUGAUGUCGCGUCGACCUACUAUAUUUGACGCCACAAAAUAGCGCUUCUAUAAUCCAUCUACUUGUUUAUAUAAAACAAAUUAGAAUCGAAAUAAUAUAUACCAGAACCAUGUUUUAAUAUAUCUCGGCAAUACGAAACGAUAAAACGCUGCGUGUUUAGUUCACACCCUUGUGAAAUUAUUCCGUAAGGUAUUGUUUUGAAAUGUUAAAACAUGGUUCUGCUACAGAUCUGUAUUAUUUCUUAACUAAUUCCUAUGGCUAAAGAAAUAAAAAUAUACUGAGGGUUUAUAUCUAAAACACAUGAUUAAAACUUUAAAGAUGUUAUUAUGCUUAGUCCCCAGUUUGAAAGCCAUACUUAACAAUAGUACGUUCAUGUAUUAUUGUAUCCUAUUAAACCAUGAAAAAUAGUAUGUUUCUCUCCAAUAUGAUUAUAUUUUUACACAGGAAAUGAAUACAACGAAAUUUUUCUUUUUUACACUAGGUAUUUCUCGUCAGACGUCAACAACAGGUUUAUUGAUUUUGUCACGAAUGACGUCAACAAGUGGUUUACCAAUCGGAGUAGGCCGACAUACAUCUACAUCCGGGCUACCUAAGGUAGUAUCGAGACAAACAUCUACCAGUAGUUUAUUGACUGCAAGCCGUGCACGUGAAAUUCCUGCAUCCAGUAAAGAAAAGGAACCUUCUGACGAAGACUCCGAAGAUUCAGAUGAUGCAAUGGACAUUGACGUUUAAAAUGAAGAUACAAAAUAAACGAACAUUGUUAGAUCUAUUUCAGUAAAGCAUGUUUAACAAUUUACGUUUCGGAAUGAAACUAUAAAAUCAGUUCAUUUUCUUGUGUCUAUGAUAUUGUGACGUCAAACUGCAAUAGCUGAAUAUGUAUUAGGUAGUGUAUGUAUGUAACCUGCAAUUUAUUGACAGAGACUCGCAUAAAACAAUUUGCUCGCACAUUUUUGGGACUAUACUUAUAUAAAAAAUUGAAAGAAAUGUCUACAAAAUAGAGUUCUAUAACCAUAUCAAGUUUUUAACGAAUAUCAUGCGAUGACAGAAAGACCUAACUGACAGAGUCAUAUAUAUUCUGAUAUAUAUUUUAUUUGUUACGUAAUCUGUAACAGCACGAUGAUAUCUGAUAUGUUCCGUAAGGGGCAUAUCCAGCCGUCAGAUACCCGAGUGUUUACAUUACCCUAUCCGUUUAUGACCUGUUUAAGGGUACGUCAGGGGAGUGGUUAAGGUCGCUAACUUCGAAUCACUUGCCUCUAACAGAUGUAGGUUCGAGCCUCGCUCAGGCGUUGAAUUCUUCGUGUGAGGAAGCCAUCCAGCUGGCUUGCGGAAGUUCGUUGGUUCUAGCCAGGUGCCCACUCGAGAUGAAAUACUAGUAAUGCAUGGAGGGACACCUGGCGUCUUCCUCCACCAUCAAAGCUGGAAAGUUGUCAUAUGACGUAUAAUUGUGCCGUUGCGACGUUAAACCCAAUAUAAACAAAAGAAAAUAAGGGUACGUCACAAAUGACUGUUGUUUUGGAACAAACCUCACUGGAAUUCAAGUAAAAGACAUUAAUCAUAUCUUUUGAUGGCGUUUCAUAUUCCAGAUAUUAUAUUUUUCGUUGGUAUCAUUUGAAAAUGCUUUAUAACAGUAAUUCUGGCUUCAUAUUAAAAUGUCAUAGAAUAGUAACCUAACGGAAGUCUAUGAACCUUUAGCCUGAUAAUUUUUUAAAAAAAAGGACUGAGUCCAUCAUUCAAUUCGGGUACUACCAUUUAUUAUCUGAAGGGGUGUUCAAGACCGACUGGCGAACAGUGCAGACCAUGAUCAGCCUGCAAGAAUGUGCAGGCUGAUCUAUGCCACCGGCAGGCUAAAGGUUAAAACAGAUUUAAUUAAAGCAUAGCUGGUAGUCAAUUAUAUAUUCUUUGUUAUCCGAUCGCUAUGUUUCCAUUGUUCUUGAUCAAACUUGUUGACUCCUACCUGUUCAAAGUCAAAAUAAUUUGCGAAUACCCGGACAAUAUUGUGUAAUUAAUGAGGAUUAGUUUUGUAUAUUACUGAUGCAUCUUGAUAAGAUGUAUUUAAUAUUUUCUAUUGCUCUAAACAUUACUUAAUUAUUGAGCUUCUGUUCUUGAUGAAUAGUGUUAAACUUGAUUACUGCCAUUUCAAAUAAAUAAUAAUAAUAAAAAAUAGCGGGAAAUUAUUUUC